CUACGGGAGGCAGCCGUGGGGAAUUUUCCGCAAUGGAGGAAAGUCUGACGAGAGCACCGCCGCGUGAAUGAUGACGGCCUUCGGGUUGUAAAGCUCUGUUCAUCGGGACGAAAGGCCUUCUUGUAAAUAGCUGUAGAAGGAUGUGACGGUACCGGAAUAGAAACGCCACGGCAUAAUUACGUGCCAGCAGCCCGCGGAUA
RNAcentral lists this ribosomal RNA (200 nucleotides) under uncultured Veillonella sp. Its description in RNAcentral is "partial 16S ribosomal RNA". It matches the Rfam family "Bacterial small subunit ribosomal RNA", at positions 339 to 523 of the family's 1533-position model. The record is from RNAcentral. Lineage: Bacteria; Bacillati; Bacillota; Negativicutes; Veillonellales; Veillonellaceae.